UCAAUUCCUCAUGUUUGUCCUAAAAUCACUAGACAGCUCCUAACUGGUUUGAAGAGGGCACCUAAGCCUCCAAUCCGGUCUAAUGAACUGAGUUGACCAGGUAAGCUCCUAGGUAAGUGGGGGGGUCACGAUGCGUUGCAAAGGUCCCACUUAAAAACCACUUGCCUCGAACAGAUGAACUGUCUCCCUUGGGACAAAGCUUGCCUAGACAUCAACUGAGCCACAGAGCGAAAUUGGUGCAACUUUCGGUGAUCUUCGUCCUAUUGAGCUCGAAUGUCCCUAGGGGCCAACAUCUAAUU
RNAcentral lists this long non-coding RNA (299 nucleotides) under Phoenix dactylifera (date palm). RNAcentral describes it as "long non-coding RNA (PDAC_LNC011812)". Lineage: Eukaryota; Viridiplantae; Streptophyta; Magnoliopsida; Arecales; Arecaceae. The record is from RNAcentral.